UUAAACAUGCAGUCGAACGGUGAAGCCCAGCUUGCUGGGUGGAUCAGUGGCGAACGGGUGAGUAACACGUGAGCAACCUGCCCCCUACUUCGGGAUAAGCCUUGGAAACGAGGUCUAAUACCGGAUAUGAGCACUUACCGCAUGGUGGGUGUUGGAAAGUUUUUCGGUGGGGGAUGGGCUCGCGGCCUAUCAGCUUGUUGGUGGGGUAAUGGCCUACCAAGGCGUCGACGGGUAGCCGGCCUGAGAGGGCGACCGGCCACACUGGGACUGAGACACGGCCCAGACUCCUACGGGAGGCAGCAGUGGGGAAUAUUGCACAAUGGGCGAAAGCCUGAUGCAGCGACGCCACGUGAGGGAUGACGGCCUUCGGGUUGUAAACCUCUUUCAGCAGGGAAGAAGCGAAAGUGACGGUACCUGCAGAAGAAGCGCCGGCUAACUACGUGCCAGCAGCCGCGGUAAUACGUAGGGCGCAAGCGUUGUCCGGAAUUAUUGGGCGUAAAGAGCUCGUAGGCGGUCUGUCGCGUCUGGUGUGAAAUCCCAUGGCUCAACUGUGGGCUUGCAUCGGGUACGGGCAGACUAGAGUGCUGUAGGGGAGACUGGAAUUCCUGGUGUAGCGGUGGAAUGCGCAGAUAUCAGGAGGAACACCGAUGGCGAAGGCAGGUCUCUGGGCAGUUACUGACGCUGAGGAGCGAAAGCAUGGGGAGCGAACAGGAUUAGAUACCCUGGUAGUCCAUGCCGUAAACGUUGGGCACUAGGUGUGGGGCGGGUUCCACUCGUUCUGUGCCGCAGCUAACGCAUUAAGUGCCCCGCCUGGGGAGUACGGCCGCAAGGCUAAAACUCAAAGGAAUUGACGGGGGCCCGCACAAGCGGCGGAGCAUGCGGAUUAAUUCGAUGCAACGCGAAGAACCUUACCAAGGCUUGACAUGUAC
Molecule: ribosomal RNA, 929 nt
Filed under: Promicromonospora sp. SX2R8S11
Lineage: Bacteria; Bacillati; Actinomycetota; Actinomycetes; Micrococcales; Promicromonosporaceae
Description: bacterial SSU rRNA
Rfam family: Bacterial small subunit ribosomal RNA
Source: RNAcentral